GUGGGGAAUAUUGGGCAAUGCCCGCAAGGGUGACCCAGCAACGCCGCGUGGAGGAUGAAUGUCGUAAGAUUGUAAACUCCUGUUAGAGGGGAAGAAUAGUACCGGUUGGACCGGUAUAUGACUGUACCCUCAGAGAAAGCCCCGGCUAACUACGUGCCAGCAGCCGCGGUAAUACGUAGGGGGCAAGCGUUGUCCGGAUUUACUGGGUGUAAAGGGCGCGCAGGCGGGAUAAAAAGUCAGUGGUGAAAUCCUACAGCUUAACUGUAGAACUGCCUUUGAUACUUUUAUUCUUGAGUUCGGGAGAGAGAGACGGAAUUCCAGGUGUAGUGGUGAAAUACGUAGAUAUCUGGAAGAACACCAGUUGCGAAGGCGGUCUCUUGGUCCGACACUGACGCUGAGGCGCGAAAGCGUGGGGAGCAAACA
Molecule: ribosomal RNA, 423 nt
Filed under: uncultured bacterium
Lineage: Bacteria
Description: bacterial SSU rRNA
Rfam family: Bacterial small subunit ribosomal RNA
Source: RNAcentral